RNAcentral lists this long non-coding RNA (593 nucleotides) under Mus caroli (Ryukyu mouse). Its description in RNAcentral is "predicted gene 45081 (MGP_CAROLIEiJ_G0006540.1)". The record is from RNAcentral. Lineage: Eukaryota; Metazoa; Chordata; Mammalia; Rodentia; Muridae.
CUCGGAUAACAGAUCUUGCACGAAUGUUUUUACAGACCUUGUACUUGAUACUGAUUGGACAUUGAGGCUCAAGAGAUUUGAAACCUCCUGGAGAUGAGAUUUGAGUCCCGCCCUUGUCACCGGGCCCUAAGGGUUUGCAGCAUAGAUCCCCUCCCCAAACGUGCGGAAAGCAAUCUACUUAGAAUUCCUUUCUUCUGAUCCACUGUCUCAAGGGAAGGAAUUAAUGUAGUAAUGACUCCAAUUUAGGCUCUUAUGUGUCACAUUAGCACAGUUUUUGUAAUGGUUCUCUGCAAUAUACUAGGAACGCAAUAAAGGAGAUAGCUGCGAUUUGAAAUGGAACUGAUGGAAUCAAGUUUCCAUAGAUUAAUGGGAUUAAGAAGGUGAGAACUCUGUGGUGUUUAAAGGUGGGACCUUUGGGAAACUACUAUAUGAGGUCAAUGUGGGUGUCCCCAGAGAAAAAGAGACUAGAUUUCUGUGCACCCCACCGUGAGAUGACACAGCCUGAGGAGCCUGAUGGAAUCUAUACGGUGCUGCACCAAGCUUGAGGACUUUGAAUCUCCAAAAUGGAAAUAAAACUCACUGUGUCAUAAAAA